AACACGUGGGCAACCUGCCCUUGAGACGGGGAUAACUCCGGGAAACCGGAGCUAAUACCGGAUAACACAUAUCUUCGCAUGAGGAUAUGUUAGAAGGUGGCUUUUAGCUACCACUCAAGGAUGGGCCCGCGGCGCAUUAGCUAGUUGGUGAGGUAACGGCUCACCAAGGCGACGAUGCGUAGCCGACCUGAGAGGGUGAUCGGCCACACUGGGACUGAGACACGGCCCAGACUCCUACGGGAGGCAGCAGUAGGGAAUCUUCCGCAAUGGACGAAAGUCUGACGGAGCAACGCCGCGUGAGUGAUGAAGGUUUUCGGAUCGUAAAGCUCUGUUGUUAGGGAAGAACAAGUACCUGUUGAAUAAGCAGGUACCUUGACGGUACCUAACCAGAAAGCCACGGCUAACUACGUGCCAGCAGCCGCGGUAAUACGUAGGUGGCAAGCGUUGUCCGGAAUUAUUGGGCGUAAAGCGCGCGCAGGCGGUUCCUUAAGUCUGAUGUGAAAGCCCACGGCUCAACCGUGGAGGGUCAUUGGAAACUGGGGAACUUGAGUGCAGAAGAGGAGAGCGGAAUUCCACGUGUAGCGGUGAAAUGCGUAGAGAUGUGGAGGAACACCAGUGGCGAAGGCGGCUCUCUGGUCUGUAACUGACGCUGAGGCGCGAAAGCGUGGGGAGCGAACAGGAUUAGAUACCCUGGUAGUCCACGCCGUAAACGAUGAGUGCUAA
Molecule: ribosomal RNA, 723 nt
Filed under: Priestia endophytica
Lineage: Bacteria; Bacillati; Bacillota; Bacilli; Caryophanales; Bacillaceae
Description: bacterial SSU rRNA
Rfam family: Bacterial small subunit ribosomal RNA
Source: RNAcentral